UUGCCCACUCGUUGCUGUCCGUGUCACAAGUGGCCAUUUCCGGGGGACAGAGCAACCCUCUCUUCAACCUGGGCCAGGGACUUCAUCCCUGGCUCUGGACCUGUUGAGAGGAACAUAC
Molecule: small nucleolar RNA, 118 nt
Organism: Salmo trutta (river trout)
Lineage: Eukaryota; Metazoa; Chordata; Actinopteri; Salmoniformes; Salmonidae
Source: Ensembl